AUUGAACGCUGGCGGCAGGCCUAACACAUGCAAGUCGAGCGGAUGAAGGGAGCUUGCUCCUGGAUUCAGCGGCGGACGGGUGAGUAAUGCCUAGGAAUCUGCCUGGUAGUGGGGGAUGACGUCCGGAAACGGGCGCUAAUACCGCAUACGUCCUGAGGGAGAAAGUGGGGGAUCUUCGGACCUCACGCUAUCAGAUGAGCCUAGGUCGGAUUAGCUAGUUGGUGGGGUAAAGGCCUACCAAGGCGACGAUCCGUAACUGGUCUGAGAGGAUGAUCAGUCACACUGGAACUGAGACACGGCCCAGACUCCUACGGGAGGCAGCAGUGGGGAAUAUUGGACAAUGGGGGAAAGCCUGAUCCAGCCAUGCCGCGUGAGCGAAGAAGGUCUUCGGAUUGUAAAGCACUUUCAGUUGGGAGGAAGGGCAGUAAGUUAACACAUUGCUGUUUUGACGUUACCAACAGAAGAAGCACCGGCUAACUUCGUG
This 484-nucleotide ribosomal RNA is filed under the name uncultured bacterium. Its description in RNAcentral is "partial 16S ribosomal RNA". It matches the Rfam family "Bacterial small subunit ribosomal RNA", at positions 30 to 507 of the family's 1533-position model. The record is from RNAcentral.